UGAGUGGCAUUUUCUUGCGAAGA
Molecule: microRNA, 23 nt
Filed under: Cavia porcellus (domestic guinea pig)
Lineage: Eukaryota; Metazoa; Chordata; Mammalia; Rodentia; Caviidae
Source: RNAcentral